UGUUAUGAGAGGUGCGGGGUGCGUA
Molecule: non-coding RNA, 25 nt
Filed under: Bombyx mori (domestic silkworm)
Lineage: Eukaryota; Metazoa; Arthropoda; Insecta; Lepidoptera; Bombycidae
Source: RNAcentral